GCAUUAUGAGCAUAUACCUAGAUAUUUCUCCCCCUUUUUGACAACAUCAAAAAGAUAGUGAAACAUUAAGCACAAAGAUAAGAAUACUCAAAUAUUUCUUUUUCUUAUUGUACUCUGAUUUGCAUGUCAAAUUAUUGCAAGGAUAUGAAUCAUAUAACUCAAGGCAAUAAUAUUAGAAUAAGAUUAAUGAGCAUAGAUCAGAGCCAAUUAAGAUAAUUUCAGA
RNAcentral lists this long non-coding RNA (223 nucleotides) under Phoenix dactylifera (date palm). RNAcentral's name for it is "long non-coding RNA (PDAC_LNC019201)". Lineage: Eukaryota; Viridiplantae; Streptophyta; Magnoliopsida; Arecales; Arecaceae. The record is from RNAcentral.